CCCUUUCCUUUCCAAAUGGGGUCCAAAAUGCACAGAUUUCUUAGUUUGCAAAGAAAGAAAAAAGGUGUGCAAGAAAUUAAUGACUCUGCACAUUGAAUGAACAGGAAUUAGUAAUUUUUUUAUGCAACGUACAUUUUAGUUGGUUGAACCGAGACAUUGCUUGAUCUUGGACAGUGACCCCUUUGGCAUAUACAAUGACUAAGACUUGACCCUCAAUCCUUGUCCCUUUCUAUACCAAUAAAACCCCUCUUUCAUCUCCAUCACUUCCUUCAUUCUCUCUCUUUCUCUCUCUUUCUCUUUCUCUCUUUCUUUCUCUCUGAUGCUAUCUAUAACUUCCAUAGCCCCAAUUCAUCACUCACCUCACUACCCUCUUGCAUCAUCUCCACUUUCUUCACCUCUCAAUGUGGUUUCUUCAACAAGGCAUGACCAAUAGGUGAAGAUGAUGAUAGUGCAUCCUCGUGACCAAGUAGGUGGAAGAGAAACACGCAAGGAUUUGCUGCCUGCAACUUCUUCUUCAAAAACAACAAACUGUGCAUGCAUGAAACAUGGCCAGUUGCCUACAUAGCACGCUGCAAAAAUUAAUGAUGUCACGUGAAACUACGGAUGAACAAGAAAACUUAUAUAUAUAUAUAUAUAUAUAGAUUUUUAUUAUCUAGGAAGAAAAGUAAUGUAGGAUGUUAUUAAUGUUGUGUUUGGGGGGAUGUAUUUGACUAUUUUGUUUCGUUUUAAUAAGUCUUGUUAAAUUGGUAGUUUUGUUGAGAUAAUAUAUAAAGCAAUGUAUAUGAGAAGGAGAUUGUGGAAUUUUCUCGCCAUUAAUUAGUCAA
Vigna angularis (adzuki bean) is the source of this 824-nucleotide long non-coding RNA. RefSeq lists it as uncharacterized. The transcript has 2 exons. The record is from RefSeq and is a predicted model, not a curated record. NCBI's taxonomy places the organism in Eukaryota, Viridiplantae, Streptophyta, Magnoliopsida, Fabales, Fabaceae.